GGUCGCUUAGCUCAGUUGGUUAGAGCGUGGUGCUAAUACAAAUUGCCUUUGUGUGAUACGCCAAGGUCGCGAGUUCGACCCUCGUAGUGACCA
Pyrenophora tritici-repentis Pt-1C-BFP is the source of this 93-nucleotide transfer RNA. It matches the Rfam family "tRNA". From Rfam's summary of the family: Transfer RNA (tRNA) molecules are approximately 80 nucleotides in length. Their secondary structure includes four short double-helical elements and three loops (D, anti-codon, and T loops). NCBI's taxonomy places the organism in Eukaryota, Fungi, Ascomycota, Dothideomycetes, Pleosporales, Pleosporaceae. The record is from Rfam.